GUUGUUGCAACUGGAGCUCAAUGAUGAAUUUAUAGGAAAUUACACUACGGAUGAGAAUGGCGAAGCUCAAUUUUCCAUUGACACUUCAGACAUAUUUGAUCCAGAGUUCAACCUAAAAGCCACAUAUGUUCGACCUGAGAGCUGCUAUCUUCCCAGCUGGUUGACGCCUCAGUACUUGGAUGCUCACUUCUUAGUCUCACGCUUUUACUCCCGAACCAACAGCUUCCUGAAGAUUGUUCCAGAACCAAAGCAGCUUGAAUGUAAUCAACAGAAGGUUGUUACUGUGCAUUACUCCCUAAACAGUGAAGCAUAUGAGGAUGAUUCCAAUGUAAAGUUCUUCUAUUUGAUGAUGGUAAAAGGAGCUAUCUUACUCAGUGGACAAAAGGAAAUCAGAAACAAAGCCUGGAAUGGAAACUUCUCGUUCCCAAUCAGCAUCAGUGCUGAUCUGGCUCCUGCAGC
Molecule: long non-coding RNA, 459 nt
Filed under: Homo sapiens (human)
Lineage: Eukaryota; Metazoa; Chordata; Mammalia; Primates; Hominidae
Description: HSALNT0185436
Source: RNAcentral